AAACAUGUUAAACAAAGUUAAUUCAAGGCUGUUUUGGUAAUACUUGGUAUGUAGGAAAUAGGAUCUGCAGAUGUACAGAAGGAAUGCAUCGAGGGUGUGUCACACUUUACUAUAGGUAUGAUGGGUACAGACCUGUAGAAAUUCCAGAUACAAAGGCGGAGUAAGCGUCCUGUCGACCGGUCACACCUGCCGUGAACCUAUGUAUUGAUAAGUACAUGAUAUGUCUUAUCGAUAGCUGGAUUGGAAAGCCAUCGACGGAUAACAGUAUAAGCACCUCGUCGACAACCUAUUAAACAGAGACAGGAUACUGCGAAGUACUAGGCUGUGCAAAGUGUAAUAAGAUCAAAAACAUCUCGUUCCGUGACAUAACUUCAAAUACACAUCAGAUUUAAAACAAAACAGUUAUAUGCCUUCUUAAGAAUUAAAGCGACAAGUUUGAGGACGCAAUUGUGAAAAUGUCAGGUUCAAAGUUAACUCAUUUUAUAAGUGAGUCAACACAAGCUAUAAGAAGUGCCAUACAGAAUAUAUAUUGGAAAGGGGGGGGGGGGGGAGGCACUUACGGAUACACAUGGUACAGUAUAUAGUCGGUAGCAUUUGAGAAAUACACACACAAGUCAUAAUUUGAGCAACAACAAAGAUACGAACCAUUCAUACAUGCGAAAGUAUAUAUAUUUAUGUGCAUAACAUGGAUAAUCAUUUAUAUUGCCCUAUUUGGGAUCGCUUAAAGAUUCGAUUCUUUUAAUUGAAACAAUAAGCACACUGCUUGUUGCUUCUAGUUAGUCUUUCCUUAGUUUAUUUGAUUAUGUCAAAAUGUUUUAAGCUAGAUGACGGGGUUAGGUUUAUGGUUACAACAAAAAUUAAAUCUUGUCUGCUUGAAAAAAUGCUUGAUCGAUUCAUUGUGUAGAUUACGUCUUCUUUGUGUAUUGAUUUUUUUUAUUGAUUAAAAGGAAGUUAUUUUU
Saccostrea echinata is the source of this 959-nucleotide long non-coding RNA. RefSeq lists it as uncharacterized. The record is from RefSeq and is a predicted model, not a curated record. The transcript is spliced from 3 exons. NCBI's taxonomy places the organism in Eukaryota, Metazoa, Mollusca, Bivalvia, Ostreida, Ostreidae.